CCAGCGGCGGACGGGUGAGUAAUGCUUAGGAAUCUGCCUAUUAGUGGGGGACAACAUUCCGAAAGGAAUGCUAAUACCGCAUACGCCCUACGGGGGAAAGCAGGGGAUCUUCGGACCUUGCGCUAAUAGAUGAGCCUAAGUCAGAUUAGCUAGUUGGUGGGGUAAAGGCCUACCAAGGCGACGAUCUGUAGCGGGUCUGAGAGGAUGAUCCGCCACACUGGGACUGAGACACGGCCCAGACUCCUACGGGAGGCAGCAGUGGGGAAUAUUGGACAAUGGGCGAAAGCCUGAUCCAGCCAUGCCGCGUGUGUGAAGAAGGCCUUUUGGUUGUAAAGCACUUUAAGCGAGGAGGAGGCUACUUAGAUUAAUACUCUAGGAUAGUGGACGUUACUCGCAGAAUAAGCACCGGCUAACUCUGUGCCAGCAGCCGCGGUAAUACG
This 440-nucleotide ribosomal RNA is filed under the name uncultured bacterium. RNAcentral's name for it is "bacterial SSU rRNA". It matches the Rfam family "Bacterial small subunit ribosomal RNA", at positions 92 to 527 of the family's 1533-position model. The record is from RNAcentral.